RNAcentral lists this ribosomal RNA (406 nucleotides) under uncultured bacterium. RNAcentral describes it as "partial 16S ribosomal RNA". It matches the Rfam family "Bacterial small subunit ribosomal RNA", at positions 30 to 526 of the family's 1533-position model. The record is from RNAcentral.
AUUGAACGCUGGCGGCAUGCCUUACACAUGCAAGUCGGACGAGUGGCGGACGGGUGAGUAACGCAUCGGAACGUACCUAGUAUAGGGGGAUAACUGCUGGAAAGGAUAGCUAAUACCGCAUAUUAUCGGAGCUGCCGAGGUCGGAUUAGCUAGUUGGGGGGGUAAAGGCCCACCAAGGCGACGAUCAGUAGCGGGUCUGAGAGGAUGAACCGCCACACUGGGACUGAGACACGGCCCAGACUCCUACGGGAGGCAGCAGUGGGGAAUUUUGGACAAUGGGCGCAAGCCUGAUCCAGCCAUGCCGCGUGUCUGAAGAAGGCCUUCGGGUUGUAAAGGACUUUUGUCAGGGAAGCGGUACCUGAAGAAUAAGCACCGGCUAACUACGUGCCAGCAGCCGCGGUAAUUC